GGGUUGUGAGGUUAAGCGACUAAGCGUACACGGUGGAUGCCCUGGCAGUCAGAGGCGAUGAAGGACGUGCUAAUCUGCGAUAAGCGUCGGUAAGGUGAUAUGAACCGUUAUAACCGGCGAUUUCCGAAUGGGGAAACCCAGUGUGAUUCGUCACACUAUCAUUAACUGAAUCCAUAGGUUAAUGAGGCGAACCGGGGGAACUGAAACAUCUAAGUACCCCGAGGAAAAGAAAUCAACCGAGAUUCCCCCAGUAGCGGCGAGCGAACGGGGAGCAGCCCAGAGCCUGAAUCAGUGUGUGUGUUAGUGGAAGCGUCUGGAAAGGCGCGCGAUACAGGGUGACAGCCCCGUACACAAAAAUGCACAUGCUGUGAGCUCGAUGAGUAGGGCGGGACACGUGGUAUCCUGUCUGAAUAUGGGGGGACCAUCCUCCAAGGCUAAAUACUCCUGACUGACCGAUAGUGAACCAGUACCGUGAGGGAAAGGCGAAAAGAACCCCGGCGAGGGGAGUGAAAAAGAACCUGAAACCGUGUACGUACAAGCAGUGGGAGCCUCUUUAUGGGGUGACUGCGUACCUUUUGUAUAAUGGGUCAGCGACUUAUAUUCUGUAGCAAGGUUAACCGAAUAGGGGAGCCGAAGGGAAACCGAGUCUUAACUGGGCGUUAAGUUGCAGGGUAUAGACCCGAAACCCGGUGAUCUAGCCAUGGGCAGGUUGAAGGUUGGGUAACACUAACUGGAGGACCGAACCGACUAAUGUUGAAAAAUUAGCGGAUGACUUGUGGCUGGGGGUGAAAGGCCAAUCAAACCGGGAGAUAGCUGGUUCUCCCCGAAAGCUAUUUAGGUAGCGCCUCGUGAAUUCAUCUCCGGGGGUAGAGCACUGUUUCGGCAAGGGGGUCAUCCCGACUUACCAACCCGAUGCAAACUGCGAAUACCGGAGAAUGUUAUCACGGGAGACACACGGCGGGUGCUAACGUCCGUCGUGAAGAGGGAAACAACCCAGACCGCCAGCUAAGGUCCCAAAGUCAUGGUUAAGUGGGAAACGAUGUGGGAAGGCCCAGACAGCCAGGAUGUUGGCUUAGAAGCAGCCAUCAUUUAAAGAAAGCGUAAUAGCUCACUGGUCGAGUCGGCCUGCGCGGAAGAUGUAACGGGGCUAAACCAUGCACCGAAGCUGCGGCAGCGACACUUAUGUGUUGUUGGGUAGGGGAGCGUUCUGUAAGCCUGCGAAGGUGUACUGUGAGGUAUGCUGGAGGUAUCAGAAGUGCGAAUGCUGACAUAAGUAACGAUAAAGCGGGUGAAAAGCCCGCUCGCCGGAAGACCAAGGGUUCCUGUCCAACGUUAAUCGGGGCAGGGUGAGUCGACCCCUAAGGCGAGGCCGAAAGGCGUAGUCGAUGGGAAACAGGUUAAUAUUCCUGUACUUGGUGUUACUGCGAAGGGGGGACGGAGAAGGCUAUGUUGGCCGGGCGACGGUUGUCCCGGUUUAAGCGUGUAGGCUGGUUUUCCAGGCAAAUCCGGAAAAUCAAGGCUGAGGCGUGAUGACGAGGCACUACGGUGCUGAAGCAACAAAUGCCCUGCUUCCAGGAAAAGCCUCUAAGCAUCAGGUAACAUCAAAUCGUACCCCAAACCGACACAGGUGGUCAGGUAGAGAAUACCAAGGCGCUUGAGAGAACUCGGGUGAAGGAACUAGGCAAAAUGGUGCCGUAACUUCGGGAGAAGGCACGCUGAUA
This 1721-nucleotide ribosomal RNA is filed under the name Escherichia coli. RNAcentral's name for it is "bacterial LSU rRNA". It matches the Rfam family "Bacterial large subunit ribosomal RNA", at positions 1 to 1756 of the family's 2925-position model. The record is from RNAcentral. Lineage: Bacteria; Pseudomonadati; Pseudomonadota; Gammaproteobacteria; Enterobacterales; Enterobacteriaceae.